This 254-nucleotide ribosomal RNA is filed under the name uncultured bacterium. RNAcentral describes it as "partial 16S ribosomal RNA". It matches the Rfam family "Bacterial small subunit ribosomal RNA", at positions 524 to 776 of the family's 1533-position model. The record is from RNAcentral.
UACGUAGGGGGCGAGCGUUGUCCGGAUUCAUUGGGCGUAAAGAGCUCGUAGGCGGCUUGUCAAGUCGGGUGUGAAACCUCCAGGCUCAACCUGGAGACGCCACUCGAGACUGUCAUGGCUAGAGUCCGGUAGGGGAUCACGGAAUUCCUGGUGUAGCGGUGAAAUGCGCAGAUAUCAGGAGGAACACCGAUGGCGAAGGCAGGUCUCUGGGCCACUACUGACGCUGAGAAGCGAAAGCAUGGGGAGCGAACAGG